This 402-nucleotide ribosomal RNA is filed under the name uncultured bacterium. Its description in RNAcentral is "bacterial SSU rRNA". It matches the Rfam family "Bacterial small subunit ribosomal RNA", at positions 355 to 774 of the family's 1533-position model. The record is from RNAcentral.
UCGGGAAUUUUGGGCAAUGGGGGAAAGCCUGACCCAGCAACGCCGCGUGAGGGAUGAAGUAUUUCGGUAUGUAAACCUCGAAAGAAUGGGAAGAAUAAAUGACGGUACCAUUUAUAAGCUCCGGCUAACUACGUGCCAGCAGCCGCGGUAAUACGUAGGGAGCAAGCGUUGUUCGGAUUUACUGGGCGUAAAGGGCGCGUAGGCGGCGCGGUAAGUCACUUGUGAAAUCUCUGAGCUUAACUCAGAACGGCCAAGUGAUACUGCUGUGCUAGAGUGCGGAAGAGGCAACCGGAAUUCUUGGUGUAGCGGUGAAAUGCGUAGAUAUCAAGAGGAACACCUGAGGCGAAGGCGGGUUGCUGGGCCGACACUGACGCUGAUGCGCGAAAGCCAGGGGAGCAAACG